RNAcentral lists this ribosomal RNA (549 nucleotides) under uncultured Gammaproteobacteria bacterium. Its description in RNAcentral is "bacterial SSU rRNA". It matches the Rfam family "Bacterial small subunit ribosomal RNA", at positions 28 to 552 of the family's 1533-position model. The record is from RNAcentral. Lineage: Bacteria; Pseudomonadati; Pseudomonadota; Gammaproteobacteria.
UAUGACCGCUGGCGGCAUGCCUAACACAUGCAAGUCGAACGGUAACGGACCGCUGGGAUUCCUUCGGGAUGACCUUGGUGCCGACGAGUGGCGGACGGGUGAGUAAUGCUUAGGAAUCUGCCCAUGUAGUGGGGGACAACUCCGGGAAACCGGAGCUGAUACCGCAUAAGCCCUACGGGGGAAAGCAGGGGAUCUUCGGACCUUGCGCUAUUGGAUGAGCCUAAGUCAGAUUAGCUUGUUGGUGGGGUAACGGCCUACCAAGGCGACGAUCUGUAGCUGGUCUGAGAGGAUGAUCAGCCACACUGGGACUGAGACACGGCCCAGACUCCUACGGGAGGCAGCAGUGGGGAAUAUUGGACAAUGGGCGCAAGCCUGAUCCAGCAAUGCCGCGUGUGUGAAGAAGGCCUGCGGGUUGUAAAGCACUUUCAGUAGUGAGGAAAAGCUUAAGGUUAANNCCCUUGAGUCUUGACGAGAACUACAGAAGAAGCACCGGCUAACUCUGUGCCAGCAGCCGCGGUAAUACAGAGGGUGCGAGCGUUAAUCGGCAUU